UGAACUAAUGCGCCAUGCUUCUUCACUGCGUGGACCUGGAGUGGAUAUGGUUAUUGAAAUCUUGAAUGCCAUUUCAAAAAUAGGGUCUGGAGUUGAUGCCUCUUGCUCAUCCUUAGAUUCUCUUUGCUGCUCUGGCUCUACUCCUGUUCCCAUGGAAACUGAUGCUGAAGAAAGGUGCUCAGUUCCAGCAGAUGAUGGGGAAUCUAUCAGGAUGGAUAGUUCAGAGCAUCCCACUGAGCCAUCGUCAGAUGCUACAAUAGUGAAUGUUGAGUCAUUCCUUCCUGAUUGUGUAAGCAAUGCUGCUCGUCUUCUUGAAACAAUUCUUCAG
This 328-nucleotide unclassified non-coding RNA is filed under the name Hevea brasiliensis (rubber tree). Lineage: Eukaryota; Viridiplantae; Streptophyta; Magnoliopsida; Malpighiales; Euphorbiaceae. The record is from RNAcentral.